GGCCUUUUGAUUAUAAUUUAAGGUCGGGCCUGCCCAAUGACAAAGUUUAAUGGCCGCGGUAUAUUAACUGUGCGAAGGUAGCAUAAUCAUUAGUUUUUUAAUUGAAAGCUAGAAUGAAGGGUUUAAUGAAAAAAGUUCUGUCUUUGGUUAAAUUUAUUAGAAAUUUAUUUUUAAGUAAAAAAGCUUAAAUAAUUAUUGAAGACGAGAAGACCCUAUAGAGUUUUAUAUUUGGGGAUAUUAUUGUAUUUAGUAUUUUUAAAUUAAUAUUCUUGAGUAUUUAAUUGGGGUGAUUUAAAAAUUAAAUAAACUUUUUUUUUAUUAAACAAUGAUUUUUGAAUAAAUGAUCCUUUUUUUAGAUUAAAAGAAUAAAUUACCUUAGGGAUAACAGCGUGAUUUUUCUUAGAGUUCUUAUCAAAAGAAAAGAUUGCGACCUCGAUGUUGGAUUAAAAUGAAUUAUUGGUGUAGAAGCUAAUAUAAUUAGGUCUGUUCGACCUUUAAAUUUUUACAUGAUCUGAGUUUAGACCGGCUUAAG
RNAcentral lists this ribosomal RNA (532 nucleotides) under Dichromacalles rolletii. Its description in RNAcentral is "partial 16S ribosomal RNA". It matches the Rfam family "Bacterial large subunit ribosomal RNA", at positions 1819 to 2625 of the family's 2925-position model. The record is from RNAcentral. Lineage: Eukaryota; Metazoa; Arthropoda; Insecta; Coleoptera; Curculionidae.